GACGAACGCUGGCGGCGUGCUUAACGCAUGCAAGUCGAACGGAAAGGCCCUGCUUUCGUGGGGUGCUCGAGUGGCGAACGGGUGAGUAACACGUGAGUAACCUGCCCUUGACUUUGGGAUAACUUCAGGAAACUGGGGCUAAUACCGGAUAGGAGCUCCUGCUGCAUGGUGGGGGUUGGAAAGUUUCGGCGUGUGGGGAUGGACUCGCGGCUUAUCAGCUUGUUGGUGGGGUAGUGGCUUACCAAGGCUUUGACGGGUAGCCGGCCUGAGAGGGUGACCGGCCACAAUGGGACUGAGGUACGGAGCAGUCUCCUACGGGAGGCAGCAGUGGGGAAUAUUGCACAAUGGGCGGAAGCCUGAUGCAGCAACGCCGCGUGCGGGAUGACGGCCUUCGGGUUGUGAACCGCUUUCGCCUGUGACGAAGCGUGAGUGACGGUAAUGGGUAAAGAAGCACCGGCUAACUACGUG
RNAcentral lists this ribosomal RNA (468 nucleotides) under uncultured bacterium. Its description in RNAcentral is "partial 16S ribosomal RNA". It matches the Rfam family "Bacterial small subunit ribosomal RNA", at positions 28 to 507 of the family's 1533-position model. The record is from RNAcentral.